Molecule: ribosomal RNA, 1021 nt
Filed under: Salinivibrio sp. N9-1
Lineage: Bacteria; Pseudomonadati; Pseudomonadota; Gammaproteobacteria; Vibrionales; Vibrionaceae
Description: bacterial SSU rRNA
Rfam family: Bacterial small subunit ribosomal RNA
Source: RNAcentral
ACGUUAGCUGCAGAAGAAGCACCGGCUAACUCCGUGCCAGCAGCCGCGGUAAUACGGAGGGUGCGAGCGUUAAUCGGAAUUACUGGGCGUAAAGCGCAUGCAGGCGGUUUGUUAAGUCAGAUGUGAAAGCCCGGGGCUCAACCUCGGAACCGCAUUUGAAACUGGCAGGCUAGAGUCUUGUAGAGGGGGGUAGAAUUUCAGGUGUAGCGGUGAAAUGCGUAGAGAUCUGAAGGAAUACCAGUGGCGAAGGCGGCCCCCUGGACAAAGACUGACGCUCAGAUGCGAAAGCGUGGGUAGCAAACAGGAUUAGAUACCCUGGUAGUCCACGCCGUAAACGCUGUCUACUUGGAGGUUGAGGUUUUAGACUUUGGCUUUCGGCGCUAACGCAUUAAGUAGACCGCCUGGGGAGUACGGCCGCAAGGUUAAAACUCAAAUGAAUUGACGGGGGCCCGCACAAGCGGUGGAGCAUGUGGUUUAAUUCGAUGCAACGCGAAGAACCUUACCUACUCUUGACAUCCAGCGAAGCCUUUAGAGAUAGAGGCGUGCCUUCGGGAGCGCUGAGACAGGUGCUGCAUGGCUGUCGUCAGCUCGUGUUGUGAAAUGUUGGGUUAAGUCCCGCAACGAGCGCAACCCUUAUCCUUGUUUGCCAGCACAUAAUGGUGGGAACUCCAGGGAGACUGCCGGUGAUAAACCGGAGGAAGGUGGGGACGACGUCAAGUCAUCAUGGCCCUUACGAGUAGGGCUACACACGUGCUACAAUGGCAGAUACAGAGGGCAGCGAGACAGCGAUGUUUAGCGAAUCCCUUAAAGUUUGUCGUAGUCCGGAUUGGAGUCUGCAACUCGACUCCAUGAAGUCGGAAUCGCUAGUAAUCGUGGAUCAGAAUGCCACGGUGAAUACGUUCCCGGGCCUUGUACACACCGCCCGUCACACCAUGGGAGUGGGCUGCACCAGAAGUAGAUAGCUUAACCUUCGGAGGGCGUUACCAACGUGCCUCUAAUUAAAAAAAAAAAGKAUGAAAUC